Molecule: ribosomal RNA, 445 nt
Filed under: uncultured organism
Description: partial 16S ribosomal RNA
Rfam family: Bacterial small subunit ribosomal RNA
Source: RNAcentral
ACUCCUGCGGGAGGCAGCAGUGGGGAAUAUUGGACAAUGGGCGCAAGCCUGAUCCAGCCAUGCCGCGUGAGUGAUGAAGGCCCUAGGGUUGUAAAGCUCUUUCACCGGUGAAGAUAAUGACGGUAACCGGAGAAGAAGCCCCGGCUAACUUCGUGCCAGCAGCCGCGGUAAUACGAAGGGGGCUAGCGUUGUUCGGAUUUACUGGGCGUAAAGCGCACGUAGGCGGACUAUUAAGUCAGGGGUGAAAUCCCGGGGCUCAACCCCGGAACUGCCUUUGAUACUGGUAGUCUUGAGUUCGAGAGAGGUGAGUGGAAUUCCGAGUGUAGAGGUGAAAUUCGUAGAUAUUCGGAGGAACACCAGUGGCGAAGGCGGCUCACUGGCCCGAUACUGACGCUGAGGUGCGAAAGCGUGGGGAGCAAACAGGAUUAGAAACCCUUGUAGUCCC